AAAGGACAAGAUGAAGAAGAAAAAUUCAAAGGACUUUUUCCAAAACCAAUUCCAAUUGUUAAACCUUUUCCAAAGCUCAUUCCUAUAAUUAAACCUAUUCCAAAGCCAAUUCCGGUUGUUAAACCAAUUCCUAUUCCACUUUAUAAGCCUUUUCCAAAAUCAAUUCCUAUUGUUAAGCCUAUUCCAAAGCCAAUCCCAAAUGGUAAGCCAAUUCCAACUGAAGAAGCAAAAUUCAAAGGUUUUUUUCCAAAACCUAUUCCCAUAGUUAAGCCAAUUCCAGUUGCCAAGCCAAUUCCUAUUGUUAAGCCUUUUCCAAAGCUCAUUCCUAUAAUUAAACCUAUUCCAAAGCCAAUUCCGAUUGUUAAACCAAUUCCUAUUCCAGUUUAUAAGCCUAUUCCAAAAUCAAUUCCUAUUGUUAAGCCUAUUCCAAAUGGUAAGCCAAUUCCAACUGAAGAAGCAAAAUUCAAAGGGUUUUUUCUAAAACCUAUUCCCAUAGUUAAGCCAAUUCCAGUUGCCAAGUCAAUUCCUAUUGUUAAGCCUAUCCCUAUCACAGUAUAUAAGCCUAUUACAAAAUCAUUUCCCACUGUUAAGCCUAUAC
Molecule: long non-coding RNA, 598 nt
Filed under: Glycine max (soybean)
Lineage: Eukaryota; Viridiplantae; Streptophyta; Magnoliopsida; Fabales; Fabaceae
Description: long non-coding RNA (GMAX_LNC003544)
Source: RNAcentral